This 431-nucleotide ribosomal RNA is filed under the name uncultured bacterium. RNAcentral's name for it is "partial 16S ribosomal RNA". It matches the Rfam family "Bacterial small subunit ribosomal RNA", at positions 29 to 507 of the family's 1533-position model. The record is from RNAcentral.
AACGAACGCUGGCGGCAGGCCUAACACAUGCCAGUCGAGCGCCCCGCCAGGGGAGCGGCGGCCGGGUGAGUAACGCGUGGGAAUAUGCCCUUUGCUACGGAAUAGUCUCGGGAAACUGGGGGUAAUACCGUAUACGCCCUUUGGGGGAAAGAUUUAUCGGCGAAGGAUUAGCCCGCGUUGGAUUAGGUAGUUGGUGGGGUAAUGGCCUACCAAGCCGACGAUCCAUAGCUGGUUUGAGAGGAUGAUCAGCCACACUGGGACUGAGACACGGCCCAGACUCCUACGGGAGGCAGCAGUGGGGAAUCUUAGACAAUGGGGGCAACCCUGAUCUAGCCAUGCCGCGUGAGUGAUGAAGGCCUUAGGGUUGUAAAGCUCUUUCAGCUGGGAAGAUAAUGACGGUACCAGCAGAAGAAGCCCCGGCUAACUCCGUG